RNAcentral lists this long non-coding RNA (1045 nucleotides) under Fragaria vesca (wild strawberry). RNAcentral describes it as "long non-coding RNA (FVES_LNC005259)". The record is from RNAcentral. Lineage: Eukaryota; Viridiplantae; Streptophyta; Magnoliopsida; Rosales; Rosaceae.
CGUGAUUAUAAUAAGAAUUUUACCGUCUCGAUCAUUGAGUAAAUAGUUUAAUUGGUCCCUAGAGGGGUUUCGGGGACGAUUAUGUGCGGAGGAUUAUUCGUAUGAGGAAAAUACGACGACGGUAAAAAUGGUAAAUUUUAGCUAGUAAAAGGUAAUUUUUAUUCGGGUAUUAUUUUUCGGGGUGUUUUAUUUUGGAAGAUUGGGUUAUAAGUGGAUUGGACCGGUUUGGAGAGGCCCAAACCCAUCUCCCUCUUUUUCUCUUCUCCCUCUCUCCCGUUUUCUCCUUCCCUCCCCCGAGUUUUCUUCCUCCCACUGCCGGACUGUCCAGCCGCCAGCUGCCGCCGUCCGGCCAGCCACCGGCCGCCGCUCCACCCCAGUUCGGACCCCCAUCUCUUCCUCUCCCUCCCCGGCCUAGCCCCCGAGCCUCUAACCCGCCGGAAGAGGAGAAAACCCGCCGGAAACGCCGGGAAGCAUUUCGCCGGAACUCCCUCCUCCGGCCACCAAUCCAGGCAAGCUUGGUAUGGUUUUGUAGCCCUCCAACCCAGCAGCCUUGCCCUAAAAGGACUCACUCCCUCUUGAGGUAGGUAAGGAGAAAUUUGAGGUGGAAGUUUUAUGGUGUUUUUGAUGUUUUUAGUUGAUUUCCCUAGUUAGGCUUGGAAUUGGUGUUUGUGCUAGUUAUGAAAGUUGUAGAGCAUGAUGAGAGGAUUAUUCUGUCAAAAUUUCAUAGGUUUUGGAGGUCACCGGAAUUGGCCUCCGGCCGCCGCUGCCGGCGGUGCCGCCGCCGGUUAGGAGAUUUUUAGGGUUUUAAGUGUGGAAUAUUAAGAGGAGUAUAUUGAUGUGAUUUAUGGAAUUUUUGGAUGAGAUUUGGAUAGGUUUGUGAAUUUUCGAAGUUUGGUAUUUUUGGCGGUUAAUUAAUGUAGAAUCCGGCCGUAAGAUUUAAGUCGUAUUUUGGGGAGGUUGUAUUUACGACUGUUGAGUAUGAUAUUUAAGUUCGGAUCGUUCCGAUUUAAGAAUAUCGAAGUUAGGCAAUGAUGAGCGUAUUUAU